This 483-nucleotide ribosomal RNA is filed under the name uncultured Actinomycetes bacterium. RNAcentral describes it as "uncultured actinobacterium partial 16S ribosomal RNA". The record is from RNAcentral. Lineage: Bacteria; Bacillati; Actinomycetota; Actinomycetes.
CACGUAGUUGGCCGGGGCUUCUUCUGCAGGUACCGUCAAUUUCGUCCCUGCUGAAAGCGGUUUACAACCCGAAGGCCUUCAUCCCGCACGCGGCAUCGCUGCGUCAGGCUUUCGCCCAUUGCGCAAGAUUCCCCACUGCUGCCUCCCGUAGGAGUCUGGGCCGUGUCUCAGUCCCAGUGUGGCUGGACAUCCUCUCAGACCAGCUACCCGUCGAAGCCUUGGUGGGCCGUUACCCCCACAACAAGCUGAUAGGCCGCGAGACCAUCCCGAAGCGGAAUCCAUUUCCUCACCGAAUCAUGCGGUCCGGUGAGGACAUCCGGUAUUAGCACCGGUUUCCCGGUGUUAUCCCGGUCUUCGGGGCAGGUUCCUCACGUGUUACUCACCCGUUCGCCACUUUCCACCCCGAGCAAGCUCGGAGCUUCACGUUCGACUUGCAUGUGUUAAGCGUGCCGCAGCGUUCGUCCUGAGCCAGGAUCAAACUCU